GUUGUUUCAACAGGUUAGUGCUUCUGGCUGUUAACCAGAAGGUUGGUGGUUUAAGCCCACCCAGAGACU
Molecule: non-coding RNA, 69 nt
Organism: Podarcis lilfordi (Lilford's wall lizard)
Lineage: Eukaryota; Metazoa; Chordata; Lepidosauria; Squamata; Lacertidae
Source: the annotation of a GenBank genome assembly